RNAcentral lists this long non-coding RNA (219 nucleotides) under Lathyrus oleraceus (garden pea). Its description in RNAcentral is "Pisum sativum (pea) long non-coding RNA (PSAT_LNC037808)". The record is from RNAcentral. Lineage: Eukaryota; Viridiplantae; Streptophyta; Magnoliopsida; Fabales; Fabaceae.
AAUCGAGAAUCCCUGACGGAUGACAGAUAUAGAGCACAGUCUUGUCAAGAUGCAGUUACUUGCCAAAUCCCUAAUUUUUGCCUAGAUUGCCCCAGUGUGAGGUGCUCAAUCUAGCGGGAUGCAAAUUCUUUUUUUUUUUUCAAUGUCUCUAACUUUUGCCUGGAUCGCCCUUUCGGGUUUUCAAUCCACCGAGACGCUCCUUUUUGCCUAAGUCGCCCU